This 938-nucleotide long non-coding RNA is filed under the name Homo sapiens (human). Its description in RNAcentral is "HSALNT0390730". Lineage: Eukaryota; Metazoa; Chordata; Mammalia; Primates; Hominidae. The record is from RNAcentral.
GGGCUGAGGAAGGGAAUAAGUGAAAUGCCUUUAUUACAUUUCUACUGGGCGCUAUGUAGGGUCUCCUAAUUAAGGCAACUCUCUGGAUAAAUAACAUUUCUCCUCAGCAGUAGUCUUCUAAGAUAUUUGCUCAUCGACGUGAAAGAUUUUUAUAAAACAAUCCUAACACAUUUCGCUGACAAAAUUUUUCAUCAUGAUGAGUUGAAAAAGAUUUCAUCUGGAUCUCGUUAUUGGGCCAUGAGAAAUAGCAGCCCGACCCUCACUCUGGUCUGGGAACAAAAUUUGGCAAGCCAGCCAGGAGAGACUGGGAUGGUGCUGUGUUCAGCGGCUAGCAGCUUGCAAUGAGACAGUCUUCAGGAGGAUCCCAGCAGCUGCUGAUGAGAUUUCCCAAGGACCCUCUUGAAGGCUGUUUCAUGCAGAAAAUUGCACAUCUCUUUCACUACUGGGGAAGAAUGGAGAUCAGGAGUGGAUGCACUCAAAGGGUCACAAUUGAAAAAACUGAUCAUUUUACCAAGGCUUUGACUGGAAUGGUGUGCUUUCCUUUAAGAAAUCAAACUUGACUUAUGGAGCCAACGGAACCCCAAGUUGUCUUGGAACCUCAAGAGGAGAGAAAUUCACCCAACACAUAGGUGCUGCCUCUAAGCCCUGAAGCAGAGAGUGCUACCAAGAACAAAUCGACCUCUUCCACUCCAGUGCUGUGUUUGGUGCCCCAUAACGACGACCCUCUCUCAGCAGGAAGUAGCCAGAAAGGUUAUGAUGUCCCAUCUCCCUACAAUCCUCGUGAUAAAUAAAUAUACAAGCAUGAUAGAUAUCAUGUGCAAAUUGACAGUGGAGAUUGUGGCAGGCGGAUCUCACUAAAGCAGGCUUCUGUAACAACUGUUUCAGUAUUGACUGAGUGGUUAAGUUAAAUAUUAAAAGCCAGUGGCCCUUAUACAAAG